GGAUGUGAGAGUGAUCUGGUUGCCACAUCUGUCACCCUGUUGAUCGCCAGGGUUGAUACAGCUGCUCUGACUGGGUGGUGGGUGUCCCCUUCCUCCCUCACCGCUCCAUGUGCAUCCCUCCCGAUGCUGCGUGCUCAGAGAGGAUGACCUUCCCCACCCUCCCCGAAUCGUCAGGGGUGUACCAGUAGGUGCGCUCCCCUGCUAGAACCUCCAGACAAGCUCUCAAAGUCCAUUUGUAGGAGAAAUAGGGUAGUCAAGCUUCCAAGACCUUAGACACAUCCAAAUAAAGCAUUACAUGUGGCAGUUCGCCUUUCUUU
This 317-nucleotide small nuclear RNA is filed under the name Vulpes vulpes (red fox). RNAcentral describes it as "7SK RNA (ENSVVUG00000028154.1)". It matches the Rfam family "7SK RNA". From Rfam's summary of the family: 7SK was discovered as an abundant small nuclear RNA in the mid-70s but a possible function has only recently been suggested. The record is from Rfam by way of RNAcentral. Lineage: Eukaryota; Metazoa; Chordata; Mammalia; Carnivora; Canidae.